This 477-nucleotide ribosomal RNA is filed under the name uncultured bacterium. RNAcentral describes it as "partial 16S ribosomal RNA". It matches the Rfam family "Bacterial small subunit ribosomal RNA", at positions 28 to 507 of the family's 1533-position model. The record is from RNAcentral.
GAUUAACGCUGGCGGCGUGCAUAACACAUGCAAGUCGAACGAUGAAACUUAAAUGAUUUCUUCGGAAUGAACUUAAGUGGAUUAGUGGCGGACGGGUGAGUAACGCGUGAGUAACCUGCCUUACACAAGGGGAUAGCCGUUGGAAACGACGAAUAAUACCCUAUGAUGUUUCUAUCUCGCAUGAGAUAUUAACCAAAGUGUUAGCGGUGUAAGAUGGACUUGCGUCUGAUUAGCUAGUUGGUGAGAAAAAAGCCCACCAAGGCAACGAUCAGUAGCCGGCUUGAGAGAGUGUACGGCGACAUUGGGACUGAGACACGGCCCAGACUCCUACGGGAGGCAGCAGUGGGGAAUUUUGCACAAUGGGGGAAACCCUGAUGCAGCGACGCCGCGUGAUUUAGAAGGCCUUCGGGUUGUAAAAAUCUUUUGUAUAGGAAGAAAAUGACAGUACUAUACGAAUAAGGUCCGGCUAAUUACGUG